This is a non-coding RNA of Lolium perenne, 1346 nucleotides long. NCBI's taxonomy places the organism in Eukaryota, Viridiplantae, Streptophyta, Magnoliopsida, Poales, Poaceae. The record is from RefSeq and is a predicted model, not a curated record.
CAAUUGCAGCUUUUUUUUUUUCGAUAAAGAAGCAAUUGCAACCACAGGUUGAACUAGAGUACUGGUUUACUUUUCCUGAACUCAUGCUUGGUUAUGUAGCUUCUGUUAGAGACUCAAGUGUUCCUGUGUUUGGGUUUUUGUCUCUCUUUCAGUUCCAGCAUUGACUUCGAAUUUAAUUGAACUGAUAGCGCGACGCUACCUCUAUACAAAAAAUAUAUAAGGGGAAUUACUAACAUGGACAGCAGAUGGGGGCUACGUGUAUUUGGUCAUUUCAUAUGUUUACUUGAAUAUAAUUUUACAUGUCCAAGUAUGUUACUUCUUGGCGCUAGUAGUUUGCGUUUCCCCAAAUGGAAAAACAAUUUUGACAGUUAUCUCCCAUACAGGAAACAGACCACAAUUUCCCCUUUCCGAUACUUACAUUGAAUCCACAUCUACUACGUAAUUGACGAAUGCUACAAUCUACAAUUACUUGUAUUAUUUUCCUUUGCACUAUGCCACUAUCUUCAUCCAUUUCUCCAAUUCUAGACAAAUCCACCAGCACCACUGUGUGUCCUGUACGUAUGCACAGCUUCCCUAUAGAAAAUGCCUGGAUCAUGAUGUGUUUCCCUUUCACUGUGAGCAUUUAUCCACAGGAACAUCUUUGCUUCAUGUAUUCCAACUAGACGAGGCAGGCCAUGGAGUAGGUGCCGUUGCACUAGAUGUCAUUUGACCUGCUGAUGCCCAAGGAUCGCAUGGACUCUGAUAAAUCUCUUGCAAAUUCGGCACUCAAAAACAUAGCAUGGGCGACGCCGGACAUGAACAAGCAUCAAUAGGAACCCUGUAUUCCGACUCAAACUCAGCUACCACAAGUUGGAUUAUGUCCAACUGUGUCCCCCUGAAAAAAAAAUUAUACUCGCUCUAUUUUUCAAAUGUAAGUUCGUUCAAUAUGCACGGAAUUCUGGAGCAGUAUGAAGUGUUUCUGGGUUUAUGGGACCGAGGCCCAUAUAUCAGUGUGUACCUUUUGUUUAUGGAACAUCAUCAAGAGGGCAGGGAGCUCCUGCUAAUUUAAGAAAACUGGAUCAGUUAUAAGUGAAACUAGGACUAAAACUGUACAAAGCGCGGUUGAUUUAAGGACAUCCCAAAACCCUGCCAAUGGAGAAUACCAUGUAGCCUAAGCCUGAGGCACGAUUGAUGUGUACCUUCUCCAUCGUGGACUAUGCCACAUCUUCUGUGUUCAGAUAAGUUCAGUAUGCAAUGUAGAAGAUUGUGGCUAUACAUAGAACCUGGCCAUUAAGUAACAGCUAUGAACAAGCUGAAGCAUGAGACUAACUCAUUGAUACGGUUGGAGCAGGCUCAAGUCCAGCUUA